This is a non-coding RNA of Podarcis lilfordi (Lilford's wall lizard), 74 nucleotides long. The record is from the annotation of a GenBank genome assembly. Lineage: Eukaryota; Metazoa; Chordata; Lepidosauria; Squamata; Lacertidae.
GCCUCAAUAGCUCAAUUGGUUAGAGCAUGGAGUUGAUAACGCAAAGGUUGCAGAUUUGAUCGCUAUAUGGGACA